This 2930-nucleotide ribosomal RNA is filed under the name Escherichia coli. RNAcentral's name for it is "23S ribosomal RNA". It matches the Rfam family "Bacterial large subunit ribosomal RNA". Lineage: Bacteria; Pseudomonadati; Pseudomonadota; Gammaproteobacteria; Enterobacterales; Enterobacteriaceae. The record is from RNAcentral.
GGGUUGUGAGGUUAAGCGACUAAGCGUACACGGUGGAUGCCCUGGCAGUCAGAGGCGAUGAAGGACGUGCUAAUCUGCGAUAAGCGUCGGUAAGGUGAUAUGAACCGUUAUAACCGGCGAUUUCCGAAUGGGGAAACCCAGUGUGUUUCGACACACUAUCAUUAACUGAAUCCAUAGGUUAAUGAGGCGAACCGGGGGAACUGAAACAUCUAAGUACCCCGAGGAAAAGAAAUCAACCGAGAUUCCCCCAGUAGCGGCGAGCGAACGGGGAGCAGCCCAGAGCCUGAAUCAGUGUGUGUGUUAGUGGAAGCGUCUGGAAAGGCGCGCGAUACAGGGUGACAGCCCCGUACACAAAAAUGCACAUGCUGUGAGCUCGAUGAGUAGGGCGGGACACGUGGUAUCCUGUCUGAAUAUGGGGGGACCAUCCUCCAAGGCUAAAUACUCCUGACUGACCGAUAGUGAACCAGUACCGUGAGGGAAAGGCGAAAAGAACCCCGGCGAGGGGAGUGAAAAAGAACCUGAAACCGUGUACGUACAAGCAGUGGGAGCACGCUUAGGCGUGUGACUGCGUACCUUUUGUAUAAUGGGUCAGCGACUUAUAUUCUGUAGCAAGGUUAACCGAAUAGGGGAGCCGAAGGGAAACCGAGUCUUAACUGGGCGUUAAGUUGCAGGGUAUAGACCCGAAACCCGGUGAUCUAGCCAUGGGCAGGUUGAAGGUUGGGUAACACUAACUGGAGGACCGAACCGACUAAUGUUGAAAAAUUAGCGGAUGACUUGUGGCUGGGGGUGAAAGGCCAAUCAAACCGGGAGAUAGCUGGUUCUCCCCGAAAGCUAUUUAGGUAGCGCCUCGUGAAUUCAUCUCCGGGGGUAGAGCACUGUUUCGGCAAGGGGGUCAUCCCGACUUACCAACCCGAUGCAAACUGCGAAUACCGGAGAAUGUUAUCACGGGAGACACACGGCGGGUGCUAACGUCCGUCGUGAAGAGGGAAACAACCCAGACCGCCAGCUAAGGUCCCAAAGUCAUGGUUAAGUGGGAAACGAUGUGGGAAGGCCCAGACAGCCAGGAUGUUGGCUUAGAAGCAGCCAUCAUUUAAAGAAAGCGUAAUAGCUCACUGGUCGAGUCGGCCUGCGCGGAAGAUGUAACGGGGCUAAACCAUGCACCGAAGCUGCGGCAGCGACACUUAUGUGUUGUUGGGUAGGGGAGCGUUCUGUAAGCCUGUGAAGGUGUGCUGUGAGGCAUGCUGGAGGUAUCAGAAGUGCGAAUGCUGACAUAAGUAACGAUAAAGCGGGUGAAAAGCCCGCUCGCCGGAAGACCAAGGGUUCCUGUCCAACGUUAAUCGGGGCAGGGUGAGUCGACCCCUAAGGCGAGGCCGAAAGGCGUAGUCGAUGGGAAACAGGUUAAUAUUCCUGUACUUGGUGUUACUGCGAAGGGGGGACGGAGAAGGCUAUGUUGGCCGGGCGACGGUUGUCCCGGUUUAAGCGUGUAGGCUGGUUUUCCAGGCAAAUCCGGAAAAUCAAGGCUGAGGCGUGAUGACGAGGCACUACGGUGCUGAAGCAACAAAUGCCCUGCUUCCAGGAAAAGCCUCUAAGCAUCAGGUAACAUCAAAUCGUACCCCAAACCGACACAGGUGGUCAGGUAGAGAAUACCAAGGCGCUUGAGAGAACUCGGGUGAAGGAACUAGGCAAAAUGGUGCCGUAACUUCGGGAGAAGGCACGCUGAUAUGUAGGUGAAGCGACUUGCUCGUGGAGCUGAAAUCAGUCGAAGAUACCAGCUGGCUGCAACUGUUUAUUAAAAACACAGCACUGUGCAAACACGAAAGUGGACGUAUACGGUGUGACGCCUGCCCGGUGCCGGAAGGUUAAUUGAUGGGGUUAGCGCAAGCGAAGCUCUUGAUCGAAGCCCCGGUAAACGGCGGCCGUAACUAUAACGGUCCUAAGGUAGCGAAAUUCCUUGUCGGGUAAGUUCCGACCUGCACGAAUGGCGUAAUGAUGGCCAGGCUGUCUCCACCCGAGACUCAGUGAAAUUGAACUCGCUGUGAAGAUGCAGUGUACCCGCGGCAAGACGGAAAGACCCCGUGAACCUUUACUAUAGCUUGACACUGAACAUUGAGCCUUGAUGUGUAGGAUAGGUGGGAGGCUUUGAAGUGUGGACGCCAGUCUGCAUGGAGCCGACCUUGAAAUACCACCCUUUAAUGUUUGAUGUUCUAACGUGGACCCGUAAUCCGGGUUGCGGACAGUGUCUGGUGGGUAGUUUGACUGGGGCGGUCUCCUCCUAAAGAGUAACGGAGGAGCACGAAGGUUGGCUAAUCCUGGUCGGACAUCAGGAGGUUAGUGCAAUGGCAUAAGCCAGCUUGACUGCGAGCGUGACGGCGCGAGCAGGUGCGAAAGCAGGUCAUAGUGAUCCGGUGGUUCUGAAUGGAAGGGCCAUCGCUCAACGGAUAAAAGGUACUCCGGGGAUAACAGGCUGAUACCGCCCAAGAGUUCAUAUCGACGGCGGUGUUUGGCACCUCGAUGUCGGCUCAUCACAUCCUGGGGCUGAAGUAGGUCCCAAGGGUAUGGCUGUUCGCCAUUUAAAGUGGUACGCGAGCUGGGUUUAGAACGUCGUGAGACAGUUCGGUCCCUAUCUGCCGUGGGCGCUGGAGAACUGAGGGGGGCUGCUCCUAGUACGAGAGGACCGGAGUGGACGCAUCACUGGUGUUCGGGUUGUCAUGCCAAUGGCACUGCCCGGUAGCUAAAUGCGGAAGAGAUAAGUGCUGAAAGCAUCUAAGCACGAAACUUGCCCCGAGAUGAGUUCUCCCUGACCCUUUAAGGGUCCUGAAGGAACGUUGAAGACGACGACGUUGAUAGGCCGGGUGUGUAAGCGCAGCGAUGCGUUGAGCUAACCGGUACUAAUGAACCGUGAGGCUUAACCUUACAACGCCGAAGCUGUU